Molecule: unclassified non-coding RNA, 315 nt
Organism: Panthera pardus (leopard)
Lineage: Eukaryota; Metazoa; Chordata; Mammalia; Carnivora; Felidae
Gene: 7SK
Rfam family: 7SK RNA
About the family: 7SK was discovered as an abundant small nuclear RNA in the mid-70s but a possible function has only recently been suggested.
Source: Ensembl
AGAGGUGAGAAUAUAUAGCUGCAACAUUUGUCAUCCUAUUGAUCGCCAGGUUCAUCUGGUAGGCUUGGAGAGUGUCCCUUUCCUUCCUCACUGCUCUGUGUAUGUCCCUCCUGAAGCUGCAUACUUGGUCAGAGGACAACCUUCCCUGGAAGAGGAGGACUGCUCUUUGGUGAAGGGUCUACCAGUAGCUUCCCUCCCCUGCUAGAACCUCCAGACAGGCUGUCAAGGUCCAUUUGUAGAACAUAGGGUAGCCAAGCUUCCAAGACUCCACACACAUCCAAAUGAGGUAUUGCAUAUGGCAGUCUUUCUUUCCUU